Leptonychotes weddellii (Weddell seal) is the source of this 3294-nucleotide non-coding RNA. Lineage: Eukaryota; Metazoa; Chordata; Mammalia; Carnivora; Phocidae. The record is from RefSeq and is a predicted model, not a curated record.
CUAUGUCAUUUAUUUCUGCUCUGAUCUUUAUGAUUCCCUUCCUUGAGGUUUCACUUGUAAUUGUGUGUGUGUGUUUGCUGUUGUAAACUACCGUAAAUCCUGUGAUCCUGUGCAAACGAGAUUGGGUAGGAAGAAGUGAGUAAGUGAGUUACCAUCUAGUUGAGCAGACAGGUAAGCACUUCUCCGAAGGAAGCUGCCCCAGCAGCAGGGAAGGGGCGGUUUGGUCUGCAGAGGCAGAGCCUACUGGGCUCUGUUGUCCUUGGCCCCCCUGUCCUCUUGUCUGGCUGCAGGAGAAAUGCUGUCCGGUCCAGGGUUUGACAUCAGGGUGGAGGUGGUAGAGACAGUCCCCAGACCCAGGCAGUGUAGAUACCAGCUGCUGGAACCCACAGAGCUGUGAGAUGGCACUUGCCCCUUCUGAGCAGCCACAUUGCUAUAGACUCAUUGCCCCUCAAGUUAGCGCUUCCGGCUAGUUUGUACUUUGGUUGUGGCUCGAGUUAAGGGUUUCCUGUGGGCUUUUCUUGCAUACGAUGCAGAGGUAGAACACUGAAGGUCACAGUUCAUAGCCUGUAGGAAUUUGUAACAAGAGACGACAGUGAUACUGAUCCCUGUCACUGUGCCGGUGCUCAGUGUGGGGCGGACUUCGUGCUCAUUCUCAUCAGGCUUGUGAGGCAUAGGGAUUCCCACAUGACUGACGUGGAAACUCCAGUUCGAAGAGCAGGAGUAAUGUGGCCCUCAGCUGGCAGGUGAUGGCCCCACGUCAGGACCCAGCUCUGCUCAUCCAGAGCCUGCGUCCCAGGCAUCCCACGUGGCUCCUGCUGGUUUGCAAAGAACAGGAUUCGUGGAAGAGAUCCUAGUAGUCCAGGGGUCUGGACGAACCAGCGUUCAACACGGAGCCAGGUUGAGGAGCUAGGGCACUGGUCACUGUCUGGGGUGACCCCACAUGUACUCCCGUGGUGGCCGGGUGAAGGCACAGAGCCCCGGUGGGGACUCAGAGGAUCUGUCAGGGCUUUGUUAGCUGCAGGCAAGCAGGGGAAAGGGCCUACUCACGAAGCCUCUGGUCACAUGGUGACACGGCCUCAUGUCCCCUUCCGCCCCCCCUUGGUGGUUUCAUGUUCCCAGUAGAGUGAAUAAGCCCAGUUUCACUGUUAAAAGUAGCAGAGAGAGAAGGCUCUGUUUCUGCCCCUUAGCUUUUCAACGUUGAGGGCAGACCCUGGGCGGGUUUAGGAAGAAAACAAAACCAGUGACCUUAGUGAGGGGGUUUCUGAAAAGAAAUCUCUACCACUCAGGAAGCAUGUUUUAAAUUUUCAGCACUUUAUACAAAGAACAUAAACUAUAGGAUCCAAAAUAUAAAAACCCUGAAUUUUAUCAUGAUCUUUUGCUAACAAAUGCCACCUAAUAAAUUUCUUUUUUGAACAUUAGAUUAACUUCUUUUUUCCUUAAAAAACAAACUGCCUGAAUCAUUUUAGGUCUGCUGAUUCUCUUUAGUGUCUCUUUAGUCAUAGAAAGAUAAUUUGUCGUGUCAAGACAAUUGAUGUAUUCUUCUUUGAAUUCCUCUAACUAAUACUAAUAAAAGUUUGGUUUGCUGGCAGCAGAUUCUUCAGUUUGAAUUGUAAAUAGUGACAGCUGUGGGGCAUUUUGCUCUGAAAGAGAUACUGUCUCAUAAUUACAUAAGAAGUUGGGGUGUAUUUCUUGAGCAUGAAUAGGAUCAGCAUGUUUGGGUCUCUUGAAGAUAAUGUGCCGGGAGCUGAAAUGCUCAGAGCUGUUGCUGCAUCCUUUCCUCUUCUUAAAUAUACUUGAAGAUGGCUGUUUGUAUUUCUGCAGAAGAAUUGAAGGAACAUUUGCUGGGAGAUAAUGCUCUCGACAGAAUCUUCACUUUGGGUAAUUCUGAAUAUCCCGUUAGCUGGGACAAUGAGGUCAGACUUUGGACAUUUCUUGAAGAUCGAGCCUCGCUUCUUUUAAAAACAUACAAAACAACUGUUGAGGAAGACAAAUCCUUCUUGAAAAACCACGACCUUUCUGUUCGUGCAGCAAUGGCCAUCAAGCUGCGCUUAGGAGAAAAAGAGAUUUUGGAGAAAGCGGUGAAGAGCGCGGCUGCGAACCGGGAGCACUAUCGCAAGCAGGUGCAGGUGGGGGCCCCGCUGCCCCGGUGUGAGGAGAGUGGCACGGGGGGCGCCAGGCUGCCCCUGGCCUUGCGGAGCCUGGAGGAGGAGGCCGGGGUGCAGGAGGCCCUCACCCUCACCGAGGCCGUCGGCAGGGCGAAGGCUGUGGAAAACGGGCUCGUGAAUGGUGAAAACUCUAUCCCCAACGGGACCAGGUCAGAAAAGGGAAAUUUAAAUCAGGAGGAAAGUAAAAGAGCGACUGAAGGCACCAAAGAAUCUUCUUCAGAUAGCACUGAGCGUGGUAGAGAGCAGUAGCCCUGAGAGGAGGUGCCGUCUGGUGGGGGUGGGGGGGGGUGAGUUGAGCAAGUUUAUGAACCGUCCAUUUACAUUGCUGUGUUUUCUUGUUCACAUUUUUCUUUCUGCAGAGAGGAAAAGAUGUUUUUGCUGCUUUAUAUAAAAACGAUUUUUUUUAAGUUAUUUAAAAAAAUCUAGCUUCCCUCUUUGAUUAAGAUUGCCAUCUUGCUUCUGGGCAAACGAACAGGUUAUCAAGCCACCAAUGAGGUGCUUUGGAAGACUCUGUAGACCCAUUGUGGGCAAAUGUGUUUUCUUCCUGGGGAAGAAUGCAGUUCUGCUCUCAGCUGUGCUUUUGUAGGCCUGUCAUCUUGACAACCAGGACGACAGCAGGACUGGGUGUCGGCGCUCUGGGGGCUCAGCGUGGGGGAGGGGGGCGUUGUACAGCACAGAGCGGGCUUGAGAUCUGGCAACUUGAGGGUUGGGGUGAAACUUUUUUUUUUUUUCCUAAGAAAAUAACACCCCAGUACUGAAAGAAAAGUGAAGGUGGCAACCUUAUUUUUAAUAGUUUUAAAUGUUGAUGAUAAUCCUAAUUAUAUAAAUACACACACACACACACCUAGUGAUUUCUAAAGAUUUGUUUACCUUUUGUGUUUUGUUUUACUGUGUUAAGAACUUGUCCUUUCUCCUUGAAUCACAGUAGGACAUGCAUCAUCCUCCUAAUUUUAAAUGUUGGCUCUGAUUUUAAAGUGUUGCAUUUGAUUUCCCGCGUCGGUCCAGCUCGCCAUGGCAGUGUUCGAAGUGAGGCGGCUCCCUGGCUUUUUUGGUUUUCACAACAAGCUAGAGAUUUUCAAAGCUACACUUUUGAGUAAAAAGCCUUAUUAAAAGGAAAACAUGAUUAAUA